UACGUAGGGGGCGAGCGUUGUCCGGACUUAUUGGGCGUAAAGAGCGUGUAGGCGGCCAGGUAGGUCCGUUGUGAAAACUCGAGGCUCAACCUCGAGACGUCGAUGGAAACCAUCUGGCUAGAGUCCGGAAGAGGAGAGUGGAAUUCCUGGUGUAGCGGUGAAAUGCGCAGAUAUCAGGAAGAACACCUAUGGCGAAGGCAGCUCUCUGGGACGGUACUGACGCUGAGACGCGAAAGCGUGGGGAGCAAACAGG
Molecule: ribosomal RNA, 253 nt
Filed under: uncultured bacterium
Lineage: Bacteria
Description: partial 16S ribosomal RNA
Rfam family: Bacterial small subunit ribosomal RNA
Source: RNAcentral